GCGCUCAGCCAGCAAAAGAAUACCUUCUUCCAGAGAGGAAAUAUCAACCGACAGAUCUUCCACAAGGAGCAAAUAAGAAUUCAACGAUUCCUUCAUAUCUCUAUUUUCCCCUUCCAUUAUACCGAACUUCUCAUUCAACUCGACCACAGUUGCAUUACUGGCAGUUAUCUCCUCAUAAAAUCUCUCCCUUUCUACCAUGGAACUUAUUUCAAGGCUCUCGCAUUCAACUAGAAGCUCAAAUACUUUUUCUUCAAACAAUACUGCGCUGACUGUGGUGAUUUGAAUGUCUUCAAAUAAUUUUGCAAUUUCCGCUUCGCAGCAGUUCACCUCGUUAACUUCUAUCUGCAGUUCAAAAGAAAGUUCU
Molecule: unclassified non-coding RNA, 364 nt
Filed under: Hevea brasiliensis (rubber tree)
Lineage: Eukaryota; Viridiplantae; Streptophyta; Magnoliopsida; Malpighiales; Euphorbiaceae
Source: RNAcentral